Molecule: long non-coding RNA, 484 nt
Organism: Thunnus maccoyii (southern bluefin tuna)
Lineage: Eukaryota; Metazoa; Chordata; Actinopteri; Scombriformes; Scombridae
Exons: 3
Source: RefSeq, a predicted model, not a curated record
AUCAGUCAGGAUCUAAUGUUAAUUAAUGUUCUGUGUUCUACACAACCAAAAGGUCACACACACAGUCCAGCUUCAUACAGUGAAAUUUUUUGAAGUAAAGCACCUGUCCUUCCGAGAAAUCCUGAGCUCCAUUGUGUGGAGCAGCGCAAGCUUUCCAGGGAAUUCAUCCAAUUAAAGAAGGAAGAUGCUGAUGGGGACUUUAAUUGUGCCACCAUUCUGACAUCAGAGCACCCAAGUCUAUUUCAAAGCACUGCCCCAGAACAAGGAUGUGAGAGAUUUUCACCUACAGUAUGAUGUCCUUCAGGAGUCUGCAGCUGAGGGGUGUUAGCCUGAAGUGGUGGCAGCUGUCUGGCCUCUACCAGGCUUAUUCAUCCUGCUCUGUGGGCGCCACAUCUCCAUGUUCUGGUUUGUUUGACAGUUUUGCUGCAUUCUACACUCUCACGCACGCAUUUCUCACAUAUCCUUACACUACUGAUGCAGCUGA